CCUUAACGAGAAUCUGAUACGGUUUCAGUCAGACCGGAGGGGAAAGACGCUUAUACAGCUUCGCAACC
Molecule: microRNA precursor, 68 nt
Filed under: Nematostella vectensis (starlet sea anemone)
Lineage: Eukaryota; Metazoa; Cnidaria; Anthozoa; Actiniaria; Edwardsiidae
Description: mir-9437 microRNA precursor family
Rfam family: mir-9437 microRNA precursor family
Source: Rfam by way of RNAcentral